This 727-nucleotide ribosomal RNA is filed under the name uncultured Bacteroidales bacterium. Its description in RNAcentral is "bacterial SSU rRNA". It matches the Rfam family "Bacterial small subunit ribosomal RNA", at positions 24 to 738 of the family's 1533-position model. The record is from RNAcentral. Lineage: Bacteria; Pseudomonadati; Bacteroidota; Bacteroidia; Bacteroidales.
UCAGGAUGAACGCUAGCUACAGGCUUAACACAUGCAAGUCGAGGGGCAGCAUGGUCUUAGCUUGCUAAGGCUGAUGGCGACCGGCGCACGGGUGAGUAACACGUAUCCAACCUGCCGUCUACUCUUGGCCAGCCUUCUGAAAGGAAGAUUAAUCCAGGAUGGGAUCAUGAGUUCACAUGUCCGCAUGAUUAAAGGUAUUUUCCGGUAGACGAUGGGGAUGCGUUCCAUUAGAUAGUAGGCGGGGUAACGGCCCACCUAGUCAACGAUGGAUAGGGGUUCUGAGAGGAAGGUCCCCCACAUUGGAACUGAGACACGGUCCAAACUCCUACGGGAGGCAGCAGUGAGGAAUAUUGGUCAAUGGGCGAUGGCCUGAACCAGCCAAGUAGCGUGAAGGAUGACUGCCCUAUGGGUUGUAAACUUCUUUUAUAAAGGAAUAAAGUCGGGUAUGCAUACCCGUUUGCAUGUACUUUAUGAAUAAGGAUCGACUAACUCCGUGCCAGCAGCCGCGGUAAUACGGAGGAUCCGAGCGUUAUCCGGAUUUAUUGGGUUUAAAGGGAGCGUAGAUGGAUGUUUAAGUCAGUUGUGAAAGUUUGCGGCUCAACCGUAAAAUUGCAGUUGAUACUGGAUGUCUUGAGUGCAGUUGAGGCAGGCGGAAUUCGUGGUGUAGCGGUGAAAUGCUUAGAUAUCACGAAGAACUCCGAUUGCGAAGGCAGCCUGCUAAGCUGCA